RNAcentral lists this ribosomal RNA (481 nucleotides) under uncultured bacterium. RNAcentral describes it as "partial 16S ribosomal RNA". It matches the Rfam family "Bacterial small subunit ribosomal RNA", at positions 28 to 523 of the family's 1533-position model. The record is from RNAcentral.
GACGAACGCUGGCGGCGUGCUUAACACAUGCAAGUCGAGCGGAAAGGCCACUUCGGUGGUACUCGAGCGGCGAACGGGUGAGUAACACGUGAGUAAUCUGCCCCUGGCUUUGGGAUAGCCACCGGAAACGGUGAUUAAUACCGGAUACGACCACUUCUCGCAUGGGAUGGUGGUGGCAAGUUUCUUCGGCCAGGGAUGUGCUCGCGGCGUAUCAGCUUGAUGGUGAGGUAAUGGCUCACCAUGGCUUCGACGGGUAACCGGCCUGAGAGGGUGACCGGUCACACUGGGACUGAGACACGGCCCGGACUCCUACGGGAGGCAGCAGUGGGGAAUAUUGGACAAUGGGCGGAAGCCUGAUCCAGCAACGCCGCGUGAGGGAUGACGGCCUUCGGGUUGUAAACCUAUUUCAGCAGGGACGAAGCGCAAGUGACGGUACCUGCAGAAGAAGCACCGGCCAACUACGUGCCAGCCGCCGCCGUAA